RNAcentral lists this ribosomal RNA (252 nucleotides) under uncultured bacterium. Its description in RNAcentral is "partial 16S ribosomal RNA". It matches the Rfam family "Bacterial small subunit ribosomal RNA", at positions 524 to 776 of the family's 1533-position model. The record is from RNAcentral.
UACGUAGGGUGCAAGCGUUGUCCGGAAUUAUUGGGCGUAAAGAGCUCGUAGGCGGUCCGUCACGUCUGCCGUGAAAACCCGAGGCUUAACCUCGGGCCUGCGGUGGAUACGGGCGGACUAGAGGUAGGUAGGGGAGAAUGGAAUUCCCGGUGUAGCGGUGAAAUGCGCAGAUAUCGGGAGGAACACCGGUGGCGAAGGCGGUUCUCUGGGCCUUACCUGACGCUGAGGAGCGAAGCGUGGGGAGCGAACAGG